This 1990-nucleotide ribosomal RNA is filed under the name Streptococcus pneumoniae. Its description in RNAcentral is "partial 23S ribosomal RNA". It matches the Rfam family "Bacterial large subunit ribosomal RNA", at positions 1 to 1990 of the family's 2925-position model. Lineage: Bacteria; Bacillati; Bacillota; Bacilli; Lactobacillales; Streptococcaceae. The record is from RNAcentral.
GAUUAAGUUAUUAAGGGCGCACGGUGGAUGCCUUGGCACUAGAAGCCGAUGAAGGACGUUACUAACGACGAUAUGCUUUGGGUAGCUGUAAGUAAGCGUUGAUCCAGAGAUUUCCGAAUGGGGGAACCCAGCACAAGUUAUGUUGUGUUAUCGACAAGUGAAUUCAUAGCUUGUCAGAAGGCAGACCCGGAGAACUGAAACAUCUUAGUACCCGGAGGAAGAGAAAGAAAAUUCGAUUCCCUGAGUAGCGGCGAGCGAAACGGGAAGAGCCCAAACCAAUAAGCUUGCUUAUUGGGGUUGUAGGACACUCUAUACGGAGUUACAAAGGAAUAUAUUAAACGAAUCAUCUGGAAAGUUGAAUCAAAGAAGGUAAUAAUCCUGUAGUUGAAAAUAUAUUCUCUCUUGAGUGGAUCCUGAGUACGACGGAGCACGUGAAAUUCCGUCGGAAUCUGGGAGGACCAUCUCCUAAGGCUAAAUACUCUCUAGUGACCGAUAGUGAACCAGUACCGUGAGGGAAAGGUGAAAAGUACCCCGGAAGGGGAGUGAAAAAGAACUUGAAACCGUGUGCUUACAAGUAGUCAGAGCCCGUUAAUGGGUGAUGGCGUGCCUUUUGUAGAAUGAACCGGCGAGUUACGAUCUGAUGCAAGGUUAAGCAGAAAAUGUGGAGCCGUAGCGAAAGCGAGUCUGAAUAGGGCGUAUAGUAUUUGGUCGUAGACCCGAAACCAGGUGAUCUACCCAUGGUCAGGUUGAAGUUCAGGUAACACUGAAUGGAGGACCGAACCGACUUACGUUGAAAAGUGAGCGGAUGAACUGUGGGUAGCGGAGAAAUUCCAAUCGAACUUGGAGAUAGCUGGUUCUCUCCGAAAUAGCUUUAGGGCUAGCCUCAAGUGAUGAUUAUUGGAGGUAGAGCACUGUUUGGACGAGGGGCCCCUCUCGGGUUACCGAAUUCAGACAAACUCCGAAUGCCAAUUAAUUUAACUUGGGAGUCAGAACAUGGGUGAUAAGGUCCGUGUUCGAAAGGGAAACAGCCCAGACCACCAGCUAAGGUCCCAAAAUAUAUGUUAAGUGGAAAAGGAUGUGGCGUUGCCCAGACAACUAGGAUGUUGGCUUAGAAGCAGCCAUCAUUUAAAGAGUGCGUAAUAGCUCACUAGUCGAGUGACACUGCGCCGAAAAUGUACCGGGGCUAAACAUAUUACCGAAGCUGUGGAUUGUCCUUUGGACAAUGGUAGGAGAGCGUUCUAAGGGCGUUGAAGCAUGAUCGCAAGGACAUGUGGAGCGCUUAGAAGUGAGAAUGCCGGUGUGAGUAGCGAAAGACGGGUGAGAAUCCCGUCCACCGAUUGACUAAGGUUUCCAGAGGAAGGCUCGUCCGCUCUGGGUUAGUCGGGUCCUAAGCUGAGGCCGACAGGCGUAGGCGAUGGAUAACAGGUUGAUAUUCCUGUACCACCUAUAAUCGUUUUAAUCGAUGGGGGGACGCAGUAGGAUAGGCGAAGCGUACGAUUGGAUUGUACGUCUAAGCAGUGAGAUUGAGUGUUAGGCAAAUCCGGCACUCUUAAGAUUGAGCUGUGAUGGGGAGAGGAAAUUGUUUCCUCGAGUCGUUGAUUUCACACUGCCGAGAAAAGCCUCUAGAUAGAGAUUAGGUGCCCGUACCGCAAACCGACACAGGUAGUCAAGAUGAGAAUUCUAAGGUGAGCGAGCGAACUCUCGUUAAGGAACUCGGCAAAAUGACCCCGUAACUUCGGGAGAAGGGGUGCUCUUUAGGGUGCAAGCCCAGAAGAGCCGCAGUGAAUAGGCCCAAGCGACUGUUUAUCAAAAACACAGGUCUCUGCUAAACCGUAAGGUGAUGUAUAGGGGCUGACGCCUGCCCGGUGCUGGAAGGUUAAGAGGAGUGGUUAGCUUCUGCGAAGCUACGAAUCGAAGCCCCAGUAAACGGCGGCCGUAACUAUAACGGUCCUAAGGUAGCGAAAUUCCUUGUCGGGUAAGUUCCGACCCG